CAGUACGGAAGACGAAGAAAAUACACCGGAAUGUCUUAAUAAAUCAAAAAACAAACAUUGUUUUAUGCAUAUUACUUCAGUCAAGCACGAAGAGGUACAUUAUUUCACCACUACACGAUGGAAUACAUACAGGACAAGCCUACAAACGUGGCUCGGCUCUGGAGGUGCAGUACCACAAAGGCUGUUAAAAUCAGUACACCAGAGAAAGAACAGAAUGAGCCCACGUUUGAUGUCAGCUAUAAGUUAUUCUGUGAGAGGAUCAUUCGCCAAAGGCUGCUUGUCAACCAAGAGGUGCAGAGAAUGGGCCAGCUGAGGAAGGCCUUCAUUGAACUGGUGAAAGCAAAUGAAGGUCUUGAAGCUUCAAACUACAGACAGGAUAUGUUGAAGAAGAGGCUGACUCGUGAUUUCCCCCAUCAGUAUCAAAAACCUAGAACGGUCAUGUAUAGAGCUGAUGCAGGGUCACAACGCAUGCAAAUCUUUGGCCCGGAUCAGAGGACCCCAACCCAAUGGAAAAAGUUUCUCUCAGAAGGAACAAAUACCGAAUUCCUGUAUGUUGUAUGGAAAAAUGCAGACCUUACAAUAGUGGGCAAAAACCUCUGCUUGCACAUACAAAUCAAUGUCACUGUGUGACUGUUAAGGAGGGUGUACAGUCUGUUUGUGUUGUUGAAGACCUGCAGUGUGAUCAUGAAGAAUGUGACACAAGGGUGUUUUUACAUGCACAACAUGCUGCACGGGAGCAUAAAGCUGUCAUUAUC
Long non-coding RNA from Clupea harengus (Atlantic herring), 755 nucleotides. The record is from Ensembl. NCBI's taxonomy places the organism in Eukaryota, Metazoa, Chordata, Actinopteri, Clupeiformes, Clupeidae.